AGAGUUUGAUCAUGGCUCAGAUUGAACGCUGGCGGAAUGCUUUACACAUGCAAGUCGAGCGGCAGCGCGGGGGCAACCCUGGCGGCGAGCGGCGAACGGGUGAGUAACACAUCGGAACGUACCCAGUUGUGGGGGAUAGCUCGGCGAAAGCCGGAUUAAUACCGCAUAAGACCUGGGGGUGAAAGCGGGGGAUCGCAAGACCUCGCGCGAUUGGAGCGGCCGAUGUCGGAUUAGCUAGUUGGUAGGGUAAAGGCCUACCAAGGCGACGAUCCGUAGCUGGUCUGAGAGGACGACCAGCCACACUGGAACUGAGACACGGUCCAGACUCCUACGGGAGGCAGCAGUGGGGAAUUUUGGACAAUGGGGGCAACCCUGAUCCAGCCAUUCCGCGUGAGUGAAGAAGGCCUUCGGGUUGUAAAGCUCUUUCGGCAGGAACGAAACGGUCUUCUCUAACAUAGAAGGCUAAUGACGGUACCUGAAGAAGAAGCACCGGCUAACUACGUGCCAGCAGCCGCGGUGAUACGUAGGGUGCGAGCGUUAAUCGGAAUUACUGGGCGUAAAGCGUGCGUAGGCGGUUUUGUAAGACAGGUGUGAAAUCCCCGGGCUCAACCUGGGAACUGCGCUUGUGACUGCAAGACUUGAGUGCGGCAGAGGGGGGUGGAAUUCCACGUAGCAGUGAAAUGCGUAGAGAUGUGGAGGAACACCGAUGGCGAAGGCAGCCCCCUGGGUCGACACUGACGCUCAGGCACGAAAGCGUGGGUAGCAAACAGGAUUAGAUACCCUAGUAGUCC
This 791-nucleotide ribosomal RNA is filed under the name uncultured bacterium. RNAcentral's name for it is "bacterial SSU rRNA". It matches the Rfam family "Bacterial small subunit ribosomal RNA", at positions 8 to 796 of the family's 1533-position model. The record is from RNAcentral.